UUAUCCAGGUUUUGACACUUGUGACGUCAUCAGUUUCGAAAACUGUUUUUAUUAAGACAAUUACCUUCAAGUGUCCAGUUACUCACAAGUUAAUACAAUAUUUAGUUGGGAAUUUCACUUCAGUAGCUUUUUUUUAAGUAUUACUCAUUGCAGUACUCACUUUCUAUUUCAAAAUACUGACUACUGAAUAUAAGGUAUCCUUAAAGAAAAUGGUUUCCUUGAAAGAAGUGUUUUCUGAGGAAUCUAUAUCAAGACUUUUAUUGCAAUAUAUACCAAUUCUAAACCAUUACUCAUUUUAUUUUACUAUUUUUAAACACGAUUUUCUCAAGAACGAAGCAUUGUCCGAAAAAAUUUUAUUCUGCAUUUUGUUACUACUUGUUAUUAUUCGCGUUUUUUUAACGUAAAAUCACCCUAUUCCCGAUUGUACGACGAUUGCUAAGACACCCUGUAUAGCAAACAAGGAAAAGGAAUCAAGGGUAAAUCAGAGAUCUACCUGACCGUUGAGGUAACUGAACCUUUCUAUAAAAGAAGAAGCGAGAGUAAGGAGAAAGAAAGACAAAGAGGUUAGAUCGAAAUUCGUUCCGAUUUUUUUAAAGGAGGUCGAGGAAUGACCUUUCAGGAAGCCGAAAAGGGGCUUCGCGUGGUGACCAUGUGAAAGUUGCCUUUUGAUAGACGUUGCUCUCCUCCGUUCCCCACCCCUAUCUCUUUCUCGAUAGUUUUCCAGUGUUUCACAGGUAAGAUUUCUUACGAGAGCAUCUUCUCAGCUGCGUAAGAACGUGAGAGAGAGCUCGCUUUCGUUUCCUCCUUCUUCCUUUCACGACGUUAACGCAUUCCGCUUUCCCCUCAGUUCAUGUCACUUGUUAUCCUUUUUCUCCUAUUCUUAUUUCUUUUAAUGUUAAUUCUUCUACUUUUUAUUUCCUUUUUAAUACUAUAUAGAUCUUCCUUUUUAAUGGUUUUAUUAGACUAAUAGUAGGUGUUGAUUGAAUCUGGUUGUUUUGCAAAGUGAUGAUUUAAUUUGGUGAGACAUACGUUCAUCAAUUUGGUGUUUUUAACAAAUUUGAGGUUAUAUUCUAUUGACUGGGAUCUUCCUUAUCUGUUUUCUUGUACUUCGCCACUGACAAUGUUUCCUUCCCUUUCUUUUUUCUUUUCUUGUUUUUGGGGGUAUUGAACUUUAUUGUUAUUAAUUAUUUAAUUAUUGUUUAAUUACGAUUUAGAGAACUUCAGUUAGGUGUCAAUAAAGAUUUGUAUUAAUUAAAGUAGCAUUUUUAUAUCAUUAAUAAAAAUAAUACUUCUCUGUAUUGUUCUUAUAUUAUUUAAAUAAUUUUAUGCGUAAUUAAUAUAAAAACAUAAUUAUUACCAAUAUUUUAUCAUAAUUUUGAAACAGAACUAUACAAUUAAAGACA
Molecule: long non-coding RNA, 1403 nt
Organism: Bombus pascuorum
Lineage: Eukaryota; Metazoa; Arthropoda; Insecta; Hymenoptera; Apidae
Exons: 2
Source: RefSeq, a predicted model, not a curated record